RNAcentral lists this long non-coding RNA (1677 nucleotides) under Salmo salar (Atlantic salmon). RNAcentral describes it as "lncRNA (ENSSSAG00000100532.1)". Lineage: Eukaryota; Metazoa; Chordata; Actinopteri; Salmoniformes; Salmonidae. The record is from RNAcentral.
GGAAAUGUAGCUGUUUCUAAUCUCACAGCACACACAUUGACCAGCAAACAGACUCUGAUGUUAAACGUGGGUUGACUUUCACUUCAUUCUCUUUCUCUGUAGCCUGGUUUUGUGAACUUACUGGACUACCCAGAACCGGACGUGUGCCUAAGGACGUCCAAAUUCAAUAAAAUCUAACAGAAUACGUGAUCAUUGGCUGGACAAUCCUGGACUUUGACAGACUGGCGGUUAAGAAAAGACAUGGGGCAUAUGAAGAUUGGCGGGACUGGUCCAGGUUGGCUUUCUUUGCCACUGUUCUGUAAGUGCUACAUGCUCUACAAACCAGGCUGCCUGUGCCAGCAGCAGCUGAGAGGGAGCCAUCCGCUGUCACGCUGUGAGGAGAUAUGACCUAAAAACCCUAGGACCAUACCUCAGGACUACCUGGCAUGAUGACUCCUUGCUGUCCCCAGUACCUGGCUGUGCUGCUGCUCCAGUUUUAAAUGUUCUGCCUGCGGCUAUGGAACCCUGACCUGUUCGCCGGACGUGCUACCUUUUCCAGACCUUCUGUUUUCAACUCUCUAGAGACAGCAGGAGCGGUAGAGAUACUCUCAACGAUCGGCUAUGAAAAGCCAACUGACAUUUACUCCUGAUGUGCUGACCUGUUGCACCCUCGACAACUACUGUGAUUAUUAUUAUUUGACCAUGCUGGUCAUUUAUAAACAUUUGAACAUCAUGGCCAUGUUCUGUUAUAAUCACCACCCGGCACAGCCAGAAGAGGACUGGCCACUCCUCAUAGCCUGGUUCCUCUCUAGGUUUCUUCCUAGGUUUUGGCCUUUCUAGGGAGUUUUUCCUAGCCACUGUGCUUCUACACCUGCAUUGCUUGCUUUUUGGGGUUUUAGGCUGGGUUUCUGUACAGCACUUUGAGAUAUCGGCUGAUGUAAGAAGGGCUAUAUGAAUACAUUUGAUUUGAUAUUCGGAUAUUAGUAAUUGACUGACCAGGUCUCUCCAGAUCUGCCAACAAUGCUAUUUCUAUGGUCAAUUUUAGAUUAUUGUUAUGCUUUUUCAGCCAUUCCUGAACCUGAGACCAGGAACAGGCUACCUGAGGGCAAUACCUGAACAAAUGGUCUAUUGAUUCUGUAUCCUCACGAUACAAUCUGCAGAGCUGUGAUGAUUGUAUGUCACCGAAAUUCAAUAUUGUUUCGGUGGCAAGAAUUCUGUACAAUAAUUUUAGCCGAAAGGCACGAAAGGCACGAAGUCUUGAAUCUUGUGUCAUUUUAUAUAUCAGCUCAAACACCCUGUGCCAUGGAAUUGGUACAUAAAAAAUUACUUACCAGCUAUUUUGCACAGCUGCACAGGUGUCAACCUCCUGGUCCUUAAAUGAAACUGGUAAACUUUCCUAUUUAUGCUAUUUUUGUUCCUCUGACAGUUUUGGUCCUUUAUAUUGGGCAGACAGACCAGUUUCCUACAUCCUCCCGCUGCCACCUGCCUCCUCCAUUUUUGGGGUAAUGCUGUAAUCAAUUGGUUGUAAUAUUGGAUUGAGUAGACCUACCCAUACAAUUCCAAUAGCUCCAUAAAGGACAUAACUUUACCAUUCCAAUUUACAAUAUAAUUUAAAAAUUAAAAGGUAAAAUUAUUACCUUUGACUCAUUUCUCUCUGCCUCCUUCUUUCCACUCCUCUCCUCUUUUGGCCUCACCCUC